UGUUGGCUGUGAUGAUAAUUAAUCAGCUUGAAAUGCCAGUUCUGCUUCUGAGAAUCUGUGAUUGAUAGAGCUGUUUUAUAAUCUGAGCCUCGA
This is a small nucleolar RNA of Neltuma alba, 93 nucleotides long. Lineage: Eukaryota; Viridiplantae; Streptophyta; Magnoliopsida; Fabales; Fabaceae. The record is from RefSeq and is a predicted model, not a curated record.